RNAcentral lists this non-coding RNA (29 nucleotides) under Rattus norvegicus (Norway rat). The record is from RNAcentral. Lineage: Eukaryota; Metazoa; Chordata; Mammalia; Rodentia; Muridae.
UACUCAUGAUCUGUUUCACUGGAGGAUGC